UGGGAAGUUGGGGGUGCUGUUCAGGCUU
This 28-nucleotide non-coding RNA is filed under the name Homo sapiens (human). Lineage: Eukaryota; Metazoa; Chordata; Mammalia; Primates; Hominidae. The record is from RNAcentral.